UAGCUCAGUUGGUAGAGCAUGAGACUCUUAAUCUCAGGGUCAUGGGUUCAAGCAACACAU
Molecule: transfer RNA, 60 nt
Filed under: Cricetulus griseus (Chinese hamster)
Lineage: Eukaryota; Metazoa; Chordata; Mammalia; Rodentia; Cricetidae
Rfam family: tRNA
About the family: Transfer RNA (tRNA) molecules are approximately 80 nucleotides in length. Their secondary structure includes four short double-helical elements and three loops (D, anti-codon, and T loops). Further hydrogen bonds mediate the characteristic L-shaped molecular structure. tRNAs have two regions of fundamental functional importance: the anti-codon, which is responsible for specific mRNA codon recognition, and the 3' end, to which the tRNAs corresponding amino acid is attached (by aminoacyl-tRNA synthetases). tRNAs cope with the degeneracy of the genetic code in two manners: having more than one tRNA (with a specific anti-codon) for a particular amino acid; and 'wobble' base-pairing, i.e. permitting non-standard base-pairing at the 3rd anti-codon position.
Source: Rfam by way of RNAcentral